AUGGCGCUUCACCAAGGCAGGACUCCUGAGCCUGCAUUUUAUCCGGUGAGGAUGACUGACAGCCUUAUCUUGUGAUUUUCUAGCUGCUGAGGAUUUUCCUGUGCUGGGCAUCCUGGGCAGCCCUGCUGGGGCUGGCAGGCUGUGCUGGAGGAGGGGAAGGGAAGCCUGGGAGGCUGGUGUGAUGCCGUGCCCUGUGGGUUAUCCUUCACAAACUUGUAAACAGCUCUCGGAUUUGAUGUAGAAAUGGGAGAGGGAGGAACUCCUGUUACCAUUGUGUCAGAUGCAGCAAGGCGUCUUCUGGUCUCUUUAGAAGUGUUAAAAGCAUCUCUUAGCAUCUCUCCUGUGACUUCAGUUUGUUAAGGUGGUAUCAUCUCCUCCUCUGAAAAACAGAGCCAGGUCCACAGCUGGCAGAGGGACACAUCCAAAGGAGCCUGGUUUCAAAGGGAAGAGCUGCCCAAGGUUCGGGGAAGGCCCAUAGCAAAGGCUGAGCCAACUGGUCCCACCGAUGGAGGUGCGUCUGGUGCGCAGGUGUUGCCGAGUUGUGCACAGGAACAUCCCUGGCUUUAACUAGCCAGAUUUUCCAUCUGCAGAUAUGCGAAGAGCAAGCGUUUUGGCAUUCAGAGGCGCGGCUGCCCAUGGUCAGGAGUUAUCCCUCAACUCCCGACCUGCAGGGUGGCACGGCACGGGGACGUUGUUUGCAGGGGCUGGGGCGGCAGGACAGCACCGUCACCCUGCGUCCCUGAGCCAUCCCGGGCCAGGCUUCUCCCGCUGCCCUGUGCCCACUUUCUUCCUUAAGCGAUCGCUGCUUCACCCGGUUUCUAGCACUCACCGUCAUGAAACACAGAUA
This is a long non-coding RNA of Harpia harpyja (harpy eagle), 847 nucleotides long. RefSeq lists it as uncharacterized. NCBI's taxonomy places the organism in Eukaryota, Metazoa, Chordata, Aves, Accipitriformes, Accipitridae. The record is from RefSeq and is a predicted model, not a curated record. The transcript is spliced from 3 exons.